RNAcentral lists this transfer RNA (71 nucleotides) under Bos taurus (domestic cattle). It matches the Rfam family "tRNA". Rfam says of the family: Transfer RNA (tRNA) molecules are approximately 80 nucleotides in length. Their secondary structure includes four short double-helical elements and three loops (D, anti-codon, and T loops). The record is from Rfam by way of RNAcentral. RNAcentral also lists the same sequence under 1 other name. Lineage: Eukaryota; Metazoa; Chordata; Mammalia; Artiodactyla; Bovidae.
UCCUGGUGGCUCAGAGAUUAGAACAUCUGCCUCCAAUGUAGGAGACCCAGGUUCAAUCCCUGGGUCGGGAA